This 481-nucleotide ribosomal RNA is filed under the name uncultured bacterium. Its description in RNAcentral is "partial 16S ribosomal RNA". It matches the Rfam family "Bacterial small subunit ribosomal RNA", at positions 28 to 507 of the family's 1533-position model. The record is from RNAcentral.
GAUGAACGCUGGCGGCGUGCUUAACACAUGCAAGUCGAACGAAGCACUUUAUUUGAUUUCCUUCGGGACUGAUUAUUUUGUGACUGAGUGGCGGACGGGUGAGUAACGCGUGGGUAACCUGCCUUGUACAGGGGGAUAACAGUUGGAAACGGCUGCUAAUACCGCAUAAGCGCACAGCAUCGCAUGAGGCAGUGUGGAAAACUCCGGUGGUAUAAGAUGGACCCGCGUUGGAUUAGCUAGUGGGUGAGGUAACGGCCCACCAAGGCGACGAUCCAUAGCCGACCUGAGAGGGUGACCGGCCACAUUGGGACUGAGACACGGCCCAAACUCCUACGGGAGGCAGCAGUGGGGAAUAUUGCACAAUGGGCGAAAGCCUGAUGCAGCGACGCCGCGUGAGCGAAGAAGUAUUUCGGUAUGUAAAGCUCUAUCAGCAGGGAAGAUAAUGACGGUACCUGACUAAGAAGCACCGGCUAAAUACGUG